Molecule: ribosomal RNA, 910 nt
Filed under: Campanella sp. (in: basidiomycete fungi)
Lineage: Eukaryota; Fungi; Basidiomycota; Agaricomycetes; Agaricales; Campanellaceae
Description: Campanella sp. (in: Marasmiaceae) partial large subunit ribosomal RNA
Rfam family: Eukaryotic large subunit ribosomal RNA
Source: RNAcentral
CUAGCAUUCAUAAGCGGAGGAAAAGAAACUAACAAGGAUUCCCCUAGUAACUGCGAGUGAAGAGGGAAAAGCUCAAAUUUAAAAUCUGGCUGUCUUUGACUGUCCGAGUUGUAAUUUAGAGAAGUGUUACCCGCGUUGGACCGUGUAUAAGUCUCCUGGAAUGGAGCGUCAUAGAGGGUGAGAAUCCCGUCUUUGACACGGACUACCAAGGCUUUGUGGUGCGCUCUCAAAGAGUCGUGUUGUUUGGGAAUGCAGCACUAAAUGGGUGGUAAAUUCCAUCUAAAGCUAAAUAUUGGCGAGAGACCGAUAGCGAACAAGUACCGUGAGGGAAAGAUGAAAAGAACUUUGGAAAGAGAGUUAAACAGUACGUGAAAUUGCUGAAAGGGAAACGCUUGAAGUCAGUCGCGUUUUCUAGGGAUCAACCUUGCUUUUGUGGGGUGUACUUCCUAGUCAACGGGUCAACAUCAGUUUUGAUUGUUGGAAAAAGGCUAGUUGAAUGUGGCAUCUCCGGAUGUGUUAUAGCUUCUAGUCAUAUACAACAGUUGGGACUGAGGAACUCAGCACGCCGCAAGGCCGGGUUUUUAACCACGUUCGUGCUUAGGAUGUUGGCAUAAUGGCUUUAAGCGACCCGUCUUGAAACACGGACCAAGGAGUCUAACAUGCCUGCGAGUGUUUGGGUGGAAAACCCGAGCGCGUAAUGAAAGUGAAAGUUGAGAUCCCUGUCGUGGGGAGCAUCGACGCCCAUACCAGACCUUUUGUGACGGAUAUGCGGUUGAGCAUGUAUGUUGGGACCCGAAAGAUGGUGAACUAUGCCUGAAUAGGGUGAAGCCAGAGGAAACUCUGGUGGAGGCUCGUAGCGAUUCUGACGUGCAAAUCGAUCGUCGAAUUUGGGUAUAGGGCGAAAGACUAA